UGGGGAAUUUUGGACAAUGGACGAAAGUCUGAUCCAGCGACGCCGCGUGGAGGACGAAGGUUUUCGGAUCGUAAACUCCUUUUGCAGGGGACGAAUACCAGCAAUGGUUUGACAGUACUCUGCGAAUAAGCCACGGCUAACUACGUGCCAGCAGCCGCGGUAAUACGUAGGUGGCGAGCGUUACUCGGAAUUACUAGGCGUAAAGCGCGUGUAGGCGGGAGCUUAAGUCCGCUGUUAAAUCCCACGGCUCAACCGUGGAAUGCCGGCGGAUACUGGGUUUCUUGAGUUCGGUAGAGGAAACUGGAAUUCCAGGUGUAGCGGUGAAAUGCGUAGAUAUCUGGAAGAACGCCAAAGGCGAAGGCAGGUUUCUGGGCCGCAACUGACGCUGAGACGCGAAAGCUAGGGGAGCAAACAGG
This 416-nucleotide ribosomal RNA is filed under the name uncultured bacterium. RNAcentral describes it as "bacterial SSU rRNA". It matches the Rfam family "Bacterial small subunit ribosomal RNA", at positions 355 to 776 of the family's 1533-position model. The record is from RNAcentral.